RNAcentral lists this unclassified non-coding RNA (158 nucleotides) under uncultured fungus. RNAcentral describes it as "partial contains 18S rRNA, ITS1 and 5.8S rRNA". The record is from RNAcentral. Lineage: Eukaryota; Fungi.
AGGUGAACCUGCGGAAGGAUCAUUACCAAUAUAGCGAACCGAGCGUUAGCGAGGCUUCGCGAUCAAAUUUGUAUUUAAAACCCAACUCUUUAAAUGUAUAUUAUUAUUGUAUUUUAAAUAAUAAAGAUCACUUUCAACAACGGAUCUCUUGGCUCUCG